Molecule: long non-coding RNA, 1194 nt
Filed under: Cricetulus griseus (Chinese hamster)
Lineage: Eukaryota; Metazoa; Chordata; Mammalia; Rodentia; Cricetidae
Description: lncRNA (ENSCGRG00015041274.1)
Source: RNAcentral
CACGAGACAGGCAUCUGACUUUCUAGUGUCUAGGUCAAGGUCAUAGAAGCACGUGUUCGACCAUUAUGGCUGCCAAAAGGGAAGCCGGUUCCUUCAACACAAAAUGAAGGCUCCUGGCAGUGAGGGACACCACAGGGUGGCAGAUAUGCAAAUACCAUUGUAGUAGAGUCCCUGCAGAAUUCUAUAGCAACAGGCUGUCCAGGAUUGUAGCCAAGGAGCUACUGGCUGCACUGUGGUACUGAGGGAGCUGACAGGCUGCAGCAUGGAGCCAAGGAGCCUGGAAGGCUGUACCAUGUGUCCAAGGUGCUGCAACUGUCUGCAUGAUGGAGCCAAAAAGCUACAGCAGGCUGCACUGCCUAGGUUUGGAGAUGUUCAUUGUCUCCCAUCAGACCAUACCUUGUGCCACCUCCGCCAGUAAGAAGCCACCAGAUGCAGCCCCUUGACUUUGACCUCUGGAUACAAGCUGGGAUAAACCUUUUUUCUUUAUAAGUCACCCAGGCUGAACUGAAUGCCACAGUUACACACAUCCCUGGUCUUCAUGGAGGCCAAAAGGUUUUCACAUCUCCCUCCAGCCCAACACCCUCAGUGGCUUCCCACAGCCCUUACAACAAACAUUCAGCUUCUCCUCAUAUUUCCUAUGGCCCUGGAGAGCUGGCCCCAUCUCGAGCCACUCCCAACCAUAACCUGGAUACUCUUACUACUUCCUGCUAUAUCAAGGUUUUCUCAAUUGGGACUGUGCAUCACUUCCUCUCACACCAGCUCACACUCCCUCAGGACCCUACACAGAUGCUGUGUGUCCCCUCAGACUCUACUAGUCCUCUUGGUUUCCUUCAUCACUGCUGCUGUGACUUGUAACUCUCCCUGCAUCCUGUCAUUAAGAAAGAUCUCCUGCCCUGUAAAAUUUACCCUGAAUAAAUUAUUAUACAACAAUCUUAAUGGUUUGCACUUUAUCUGUUUAAUUUUUAGACUCCUGAGUGCAGGGGGAGAAGGAAAAAGAACUUUGAACUCCAGGGUAAAUCAUAGGUGUCUACACAGAAGUGGGAAGAAGGAGCAUUCGUGUUCUGUUUUGAAGCUGAAUCACAAGCAUGUCUGUGGGAGACUGUCUCAAUUAUUAAUUGAGACAAGAAGACCCACCCUUGCACCAUGAAUGUGGAAAGCACGGUUUCUCGGCUGGGCCCUAAACUGUAUAAGAAU